This 716-nucleotide ribosomal RNA is filed under the name uncultured bacterium. RNAcentral describes it as "bacterial SSU rRNA". It matches the Rfam family "Bacterial small subunit ribosomal RNA", at positions 60 to 746 of the family's 1533-position model. The record is from RNAcentral.
AGUCGACGAAAGAGGGAAGAGCUUGCUCUUUCCGGAAUUGAGUGGCAAACGGGUGAGUAACACGUAAACAACCUGCCUUCAGGAUGGGGACAACAGACGGAAACGACUGCUAAUACCGAAUAAGUUCCAAGAGCCGCAUGGCCCAUGGAAGAAAAGGUGGCCUCUACCUGUAAGCUAUCGCCUGAAGAGGGGUUUGCGUCUGAUUAGCUGGUUGGAGGGGUAACGGCCCACCAAGGCGACGAUCAGUAGCCGGUCUGAGAGGAUGAACGGCCACACUGGAACUGAGACACGGUCCAGACUCCUACGGGAGGCGGCAGUGGGGAAUCUUCCGCAAUGGGCGAAAGCCUGACGGAGCAACGCCGCGUGAGUGAUGACGGCCUUCGGGUUGUAAAACUCUGUGAUCCGGGACGAAAAGGCAGAGUGCGAAGAACAAACUGCAUUGACGGUACCGGAAAAGCAAGCCACGGCUAACUACGUGCCAGCAGCCGCGGUAAUACGUAGGUGGCAAGCGUUGUCCGGAAUUAUUGGGCGUAAAGCGCGCGCAGGCGGCUUCCCAAGUCCCUCUUAAAAGUGCGGGGCUUAACCCCGUGAUGGGAAGGAAACUGGGAAGCUGGAGUAUCGGAGAGGAAAGUGGAAUUCCUAGUGUAGCGGUGAAAUGCGUAGAGAUUAGGAAGAACACCGGUGGCGAAGGCGACUUUCUGGACGAAAACUGACGC